Octopus sinensis (East Asian common octopus) is the source of this 102-nucleotide long non-coding RNA. RefSeq lists it as uncharacterized. The record is from RefSeq and is a predicted model, not a curated record. The transcript is spliced from 3 exons. NCBI's taxonomy places the organism in Eukaryota, Metazoa, Mollusca, Cephalopoda, Octopoda, Octopodidae.
UUUUGCACCUUCAUCAGCACCCAUUUAACCCACUCUUCUCUCCGAACAUAUUGCUUAUAUAGCCACCACAUACAGCGGUGUUAACCCCUUAGAAUAUGGCAU